This 2820-nucleotide transfer RNA is filed under the name Cervus hanglu yarkandensis (Yarkand deer). RNAcentral describes it as "lncRNA (ENSCHYG00000001368.1)". The stretch from base 16 to 88 matches the Rfam family "tRNA". The record is from RNAcentral. Lineage: Eukaryota; Metazoa; Chordata; Mammalia; Artiodactyla; Cervidae.
CAGGUUAAGCAAGCAGCCCGGCUAGCUCAGUCGGUAGAGCAUGAUACUCUUAAUCUCAGGGUCGUGGGUUCGAGCCCCACGCUGGGCGCAGCUUUUGUUAAGCUGGUAAGGGAGUUCAGAUUCUUCCCUGAUUCACAGAAUCCUAGCCACACCCAUCUACAGAGGGGGCUACUGGUAAAGAGUCCGCCUGCCAAUGCAGGAGACGUAGAGACGCAGUCUCGAUCCUUGUGUCAGGAAGAUCCUCUGCCGGGAGAAUCCCAUGGACAAAGGAGCCUGGCGGGCUACAUCCCAUAGGGUUGCAGAGUCAGAUACAACUGAGACGACUUAGCACGCACACACGUUUCCCAGGUUGUGGUUAUUUGUUCGGGCAGCCACAGCUGAAGGACCACAGAGAGACCCACAGAGGGGUGCCGGGGUUCAGCCUCGGCAGGAUCCAGGGGUACCCUCAGGAUGAACGGCGUCGGCGAGAGAAGACGCGUGAGACCAGCCUUUGUGAAGCCAAGUCUAUCUUUUACUUUUUGACAACAGUUUAUAUACCCUCACUCAGAAUGUAUCCAAGGUACGAGAUGAUUACUCAUGCUUACAUAGGGUUAGUUUAACAUUACAUCAGUUUGUCCUUUAGGAAAAACAGGAUGUUUUCUGCAUUCUAUUUCUAUAGUAGAUCUUUGCACAUUAUCUUCUGGCCUUGGUGCCUAUUGACAUUUUAUGCAAGUCAGGUGAAUGUAAACCUAUUUUUCGUUUCUGUGGUGAUCUUAACAGAAAAGUUGCAUGCCGGGGUCCAGCCUCGGCAGGAUCCAGGGGAUACCCUCAGGAUGAACGGCGUCGGUGAGAGAGAGAGAGAAGACACGUGAGACCAGCCUUGGUAGGGCCAAGUCCGCAAGGAAGAGAGAGAGAAAGAGAGAGAGAGAGAGAGAGAAUGACCAGACGGGGGUGUUUGCAGGGUCUGGCAGAGUCUGGAAGAGUCUGGCAAUCCUUUAUUUUUUACCAUAGCUUUUAUACCCUAAGUUAGUACAUUUCUAAGGGGAAGAUAGUUUAACAUUACAUCAGCUUGUUCUUCGUGAAACCAGGGUGUUUUCUGCACGCUUCUUUGUUUAUGAGGGUCUUGUACAUUAUCUUCUGGCCUUGGGGCCUAUUAACAUUUUAUGCAAGUCAGGUGAAUGUAAACCUAUUUUCUGUUUCUAAGGUGACUUUAACUGAAAGGUAGCAGUCUCAUAGGGCAACAGUACAGAGUAGAAGUAUAACCUUGUUAAUACAAAAAUUAAUCCUUCUGCAGAAGUUGUCAGUUGCGUUUAUCUAAGUUUACCCCACACUGACUCUGCGACAUUGGUGAGACAGCUUCUACCUAGCACUCCUGGCUGACAAUUAACAACCAUUUCAUUGUUACCACACUAGGGCUAAGUUCUUAUUUCUUUAGAUCUUUAACUAUAUUAACAAUGGUUUCUAUAACACAACCUUAGCACAUUAAAAGCAAAAACACAGCAAGUAAAACACAGCAAACGUCAACCCAAUAACCACCUUUAAAAUAAUUUUUUUAAUGUUUUCUAAUAGGACUCCUUCACCCCUCAAAAAUGCUCUAUGUCUAUUAGGGCUUUUAUAUAAUCAGGUUCUUUAUGCUAUUUUAUGAUUAGGAUAUUAUAAGCAAUCAUGCAUAUUAGUACCAAGGGCAUAAAUGCAUUUGGCUAACAAACUACCAGCAAAGGAGUUUAAAUUAAAACACUCCUUUCACCCUGGAUAAUUUCAUAAAAUACCACCACCCGGGAAACUUAUUGAUUAAAGUUCUAAAUUGAUUCUUAUUUGAAAAGAGAUCGGGGAAGGCCUUCUGCCUGUGACACAGAAAUUAGGGAGUAGUCUACUGAAGCAAGCAUCAAAAAGACAGAUAUCAUCUUUAAGGUGAGCGCGGGGCAGUUUUUCGGAAUCCCUGAAAACCUGAUCCGCCUUGCCCGUCAGGUUUUCUCCCUCAUGACCUUGUCAUGGGUGGGAUCUCGUCCGGCUCCCUGCAGUUGCAGUCUCAUAGGGCAACAGUACAGCAUGUCACAACAUAGUAGAAAUAUAACCUUGUCAACACAAAGGUCAAUUCUUCUGCAGAAGCUGUCAGUUGAAUUUAUCUAAGAGGUUUACCCCACACAGAUUCUGUGGCUGGCUUCGGUGAGGCAGCCCCUGCCUAGCACUCCUGGCUAAUAAUUAACAACCAUCUCAUUGUUACCACACUAGGGCUAAGCUCUUAUUUUUCUAAAUCUUUAACUAUAUUAACAAUGGUUUCCACUGCAUAACCUUAGCACAUUAAGAGCAAAAAUACAGCAAGCAAACGUUGACGCAAUAACCACUUUUAGAAUAAUUUUUCUUGUGUUUUCUAAUAGGGUUUCCUCACCCCCCGAAGGGCUCUAUGCCUAUUAGGGCCUUUGUGUGAUCACGUUCUUUAUGCUGUUUUAUGAUUAGGGUAUUAUGAGCAGUCAUGCAUAUUAGUACCAAGGACAUAAAUGCAUUUGCCAAACAAACUAAAAUGCCAGCAAAGGAGUUUAAAUUGAAACACUCCUUUCAUCCUGGAUAAUCUCAUAAGAUACCACCACCCGGGAGACAUAUUGAUUAAAGUUCUAAGUUGAUUCUUAUUUGAAAAGAGAUCGGGGAAGGCCUUCUGCCUGUGCCACAGAAAUUAGGGAGUAGUCUAUUAAAGCAAGCAUCAGAAAGACAGAUACCAUCUUUAAGGUGAGCACCGGGGGCAGCUUUUCGAAAUCCCUGGAAUCCUGAUCCGCCUUGCUUGUCAGGUUUUCUCCUCGUGACCUUGUCAUGGGUGGGAUCUUGUGUGCUGGCUCCCAGCAGAGG